RNAcentral lists this ribosomal RNA (253 nucleotides) under uncultured bacterium. RNAcentral's name for it is "partial 16S ribosomal RNA". It matches the Rfam family "Bacterial small subunit ribosomal RNA", at positions 524 to 776 of the family's 1533-position model. The record is from RNAcentral.
UACGUAGGGUGCGAGCGUUAAUCGGAAUUACUGGGCGUAAAGCGCACGUAGGUGGUUUGAUAAGUCGGAUGUGAAAUCCCUGGGCUCAACCUAGGAAUUGCAUUCGAUACUGUCUGACUAGAGUAUGGUAGAGGGGGGUAGAAUUCCCGGUGUAGCGGUGAAAUGCGUAGAUAUCGGGAGGAAUACCAGUGGCGAAGGCGGCCCCCUGGACCAAUACUGACACUGAGGUGCGAAAGCGUGGGUAGCAAACAGG